CUACGGGAUGCAGCAGUUGGGAGUAUUGCGCAAUGGACGAAAGUCUGACGCAGCGACGCCGCGUGCAGGAAGAAUGUCUUCGGACUGUAAACUGCUUUUUUUAGGGAAUAAUUUUUGAAGGUACCUAAAGAAUAAGUACCGGCUAAACACGUGCCAGCAGCCGCGGUAAUACGUGUGGUACAAACGUUGUCCGGAAUCACUGGGCGUAAAGCGUACGUAGGUGGUUUAAGUAGUCUCCAAUUAAAGACCAAGGCCCAACCUUGGGAAUGUUGGAGAAACCAUUAGACUUGAGAAUCGCAGGGGCUAGCGGAACGAUCGGUGUAGGAGUGAAAUCCGUUGAUAUCGAUCGGAACACCAAAGGCGAAGGCAGCUGGCUAGGCGAUAUCUGACACUAAGGUACGAAAGCGUGGGUAGCGAAUGGGAUUAGAUACCCGAGUAGUC
This 441-nucleotide ribosomal RNA is filed under the name uncultured bacterium. Its description in RNAcentral is "partial 16S ribosomal RNA". It matches the Rfam family "Bacterial small subunit ribosomal RNA", at positions 339 to 795 of the family's 1533-position model. The record is from RNAcentral.